AUCGCUGCCGGCGCUCUCCCUCCCUGCCCUCACUCCACUCUUUUUACGCACGGACUUCCGAGCUGGGGGAGUAAGGAUCGGAGUAAUGGAGGUGAGGUUGGAAAGAAUACAAAUACAAGAUAAUCUGUCCUGCCUUCUCCAACAAUAAGAAAUCUCUCCUAAGAAGGCUCAAAACGUCGCAGAUGUUGUGGCACGAACUUUACAGCCUCUUUCCUAGAGCAGAGAAGCCGCUGCUUGGCUCCCCACAGCUCCAUAUCUCCUUCUCCGCAGAGCCGGCAGUUUGAAGUGUUUCUCCUUCACACAGACGCUUCCUCCCCUCCCCGAGAGCAUGCCUUUCCUCAAACUGGUUACUCCUGUUGGAAAUUGGAAAAUCAAUGCUUGUUUAGCAUCUUCCGUGAGAUGAUGCACUGUCGAAACUCACAGCAAGGGAACCCGCACCAUCUGACUCUUGGGCGGGGAAGGCGUUGCCCCAGUCCCUGUAGAAUUUACAUAGAAAUUUACAAUGAAUAAUACUCGUGAGCGCCCCUGAAAAUAUAUACUGUGGCUAGUAGCAUUAUUAUAAGCCCCGAGACACACCUCCUACGUAUUCUCUGGUAGUGGUUGAAGUUUGCUUAAAUGAUUGAUCAGAAGCUUGAACCGUGUUUAUUCUUUCUGUUUUCUUAAACCGCAUCUUGGAUGGUUUCCUGUCAGUUUUCAGAUGCCAUUUGCAGCACAGACAGAUUUCGUAUGCCUACUGCAGAUUGUCUUCAAAGUUCUAGUUUAAAGAGCAUUAUGUAAGCCUCUCUCUAUUUACAUAAGAGCUUUAACUCAAACCUCUCAGAAAAUCAUUUAUUACCAACGGAAACCCAUCCAGGGGAGCAGCAUAACCGACCUGUAUCUUUAUGACACUUUCAAGAACAGCAGUAGUUCAUUCUUUUCGGGAAGAAAAAAGUGUAUGUACCAAAGAAUUGGCAUAUUUUGCAUUUUUAUUCAGCUUGGUUUUAGAUCAUUUGAGCAUUAUUCCUAAGCUUAAUUCAGGCAGUGCAGACAUUUAUAGGAUACACUUUUUCUCUGUGUUGGUUACCACUUAACUAGGCCACAGAGAUGAUCCUGUCUCCCUUCCUUGAAUGUAAUCCCAAUGUGAGAGCAAAAGUGUUUUAAUAGAAUCAAGUACAAAUUUUUACUGAUGUCUAAAUCAUUAAAAGAAUUUGUGAAUACAUAAUCACUGUAAGCAAAGGUCAAGCAAUAAUAAAUUACACAUAAUAAAAAGUUCUCUUUACUUUUUCAUUUCUUCUUCUUAAACCACUUUCACCCUCAUCCCAUUUCCCUUAAUUGGCUUCCCUCCCUCCCUCCCUCCCUUCCUUCCUUCCUUCCUUCCUUCCUUCCUUCCUUCCUUCUUUCUCCUUCCAUCUACUCACUAAUCUUUUGGGAGGAUUUUUAUUGUUGUAUAUUGUUGUAAUUCCUUUUUGAUAAAUAGGACUGUUGAAAUAAAAAACUUAAUUAUAAUGAGUUCAAAACUAGUGCCUGUAAGGAAAACCAAUAUCUUGCUUCAGAUACUGGGAAGCUAGCUUUAAGGUAUUGUUCUCUAUUCUUACUGCAUUAACUGGGGGAAAAGUGACUUUUAGGCACUGGCACUUUCAUGUUAUUAAGAAAGAUUAAGGGUCCUAUGAACUUCUUUGCUUAACUAUUAGACAUUAGAAGGUGAAAAUACUUCAAGUUAAUUCUUAGAAACUGACAGUCUUCUCAGUGACCAUCUUUAGUCAAUGUCCCCUCUCCUUGUAUAUUGGGAAAAAUGUCAUUCUCCAACCAACUCUCCAAUAUGGAACUUGUCUUGUUGGCAGAAAGGACUAGAUUCUCAAACAUCUUCUCACAGGAUGCCCUUGGAAGAUGUAGUAAAGUGGUAUCGUUGGUAGUGUUCUUACCAAGAGAAAUUGUGAAUCAGGUAGGUAUGUUUGGAAUAUUCUAUCACUGGUCACCCCUUUUGUAAUUUUUCUCUAACACAUAAGUUCCAGGUCUGCCUUUUGUGACAUUUCUAGCCAUUUGGACACUUCUUUCUGAGGAACUCCUCACUGUUGCCUUCCACAUUCUCAUCACAAAUCAGAUAAGGUAAUUAAUAGUAAGGUGUUAAAAGUUGAUAAGUGAUAAAAGACAUUUGCCUAUUUUUCCAAAUAAGCUUGGAGGGUCCAUGUUAAGGUCCCAAACAAUAAAUCUCAGUAGUGUAAUUGGAAUUUUAGGACUGUAGUUAGCAGAUGGAAAAGAUAUUUUAGGAAGGAGAAAUUUGAAGCAUUCUUAAAAUAUAGCCACAUGGCCAUGAGUCACCUUCUUUGUCCUCGCUUUUAAGACCAGCUCUACCUCUGUGAGCUACUCAGACUUGACAUAUCCGAUGUAAAAACAGUGCUAUUGUGUGUGUGUUAUUAGUGAUUGUGCAGAAUUAGAAAAGUUUUAAUGAAUUUGAUAUUGUAUUGAAGAAUCACUCUAGCUCUUCUAGUAAUAAUCUCAGUAGAACUGACCCUAGUCAGGGAGAACCACUCAUCAUUGACCAAUGUGUUUGUUUCUGUCAGCUUUUUCGCUGCCAUGACUAAAAGACUUGACCAGAACAAUUGCAGAGAAAAAAAAGUUUAUUUGAGGGCUCAUGGUUUCAGAGGUCCAAGUUCACAGAUAGCUUGCUUCCUUCCUCUGGGCUGGAGGUAAAGCAGAACAACAUGGUGAAAGAAUGUGGCAGAGGGAAGUGGCUCUGUAUUGAUCAGUAAGCAGAAAAAGACUCCACUUUCAAGAUACAUACCCCAAAGGCAUAUCCCCAAUGACCCACCUCCUUCAGCCACACCCUAUCUCCCUUCAGCCACCACCCAGUUAAUCCCAUCAUAGGAUGGAUUCACUGAUUGAUAAAAUUGAUAUUAUGUUGAAUAUGCCAUUUUACUUCUUGUUUUUCACUCAGUACUCUGUAUGGAUUAUUCUUUAUGAUUUCUGUAUUGUUAUAUGUAUGACUAACCUGUGUUUCUGCUUAUCAUGCAGCUCUCCAUCAUGUAUGUAUCAGUCAAGUUCCAUUAGGCAAAAAAGAAACCAUACUAGGUGAUUUAAUACAGUGUUUAAGAAUUCUGAGAUCAUAAUAUAUAUGAAGGAAUGUGAAGGACGGUGACGUUGUGUGAGGAGAUGGAGAUGAAAGUAAAUAUGACUGUGGCUCUCACAGCCUAUGAGCUCUCAGCCUGGUGGGUGAAGAUAAACUCGUAAUGUCAUGGAAGAAAUGGACAAGUAACCAGAUGAUCAUAAUUCAGCGUGAAAAGUCCUAUUAUGGAAGUGAGUGUGGGGAGUGAUGAUUCUUCUAUACAUUUUAUAGAUGAAGAAUCUGUCUCGAAUGUUAAUGGAUUUGCCCAACAUCAUGGAUAGGUAGGUGAUAGAGCCACCGUACAAAUUUAGAUCUGUCAGAUUUGUCUAAUCUAAACCAAUAUACUAUGCCUCCCAACUGAGGGCAAAAGUCAGAAAUGGGACUAUUUAUUUUCAUUAUCUUAGAAGGGAAUUCACAAUGUUUUUUUUUUUUUUAAUUUUCUAAUAUUGCAAACCACUCAGAUGAAUAUUUGCAAGUGAAAAAUUAUAACACCAAAAAGUCAGAUAAGAAAAAAAAAACCUGGGCUGGGGAUGUGGCUCAAGCGGUAGCGCGCUGGCCUGGCAUGCGUGCGGCCCGGGUUCGAUCCUCAGCACCACAUACAAACGAAGAUGUUGUGUCC
Non-coding RNA from Ictidomys tridecemlineatus (thirteen-lined ground squirrel), 3701 nucleotides. The record is from RefSeq and is a predicted model, not a curated record. NCBI's taxonomy places the organism in Eukaryota, Metazoa, Chordata, Mammalia, Rodentia, Sciuridae.